RNAcentral lists this ribosomal RNA (403 nucleotides) under uncultured bacterium. RNAcentral describes it as "bacterial SSU rRNA". It matches the Rfam family "Bacterial small subunit ribosomal RNA", at positions 355 to 775 of the family's 1533-position model. The record is from RNAcentral.
UAGGGAAUAUUAGUAAUGGGCGAAAGCCUGAACUAGCAACGCCGCGCGUGCGAAGAAGGCCUUCGGGUUGUAAAGCACUUUUUGAGAGGAUGAGGAAGGACGGUACUCUCGGAGUAAGUCUCGGCUAACUACGUGCCAGCAGCCGCGGUAACACGUAGGAGGCGAACGUUAUCCGGAUUUACUGGGCGUAAAGCGCGUGUAGGUGGUUUGGUAAGUAGGGCGUGAAAGCUCCUGGCUCAACUGGGAGAGGCCGUUCUAAACUGCCGAACUAGAGGAUGGUAGAGGGAGGUGGAAUUCCGGGUGUAGCGGUGGAAUGCGCAGAUAUCCGGAGGAACACCAGUGGCGAAAGCGGCCUCCUGGACCAUUCCUGACACUCAGACGCGAAAGCUAGGGUAGCAAACGG